Molecule: ribosomal RNA, 507 nt
Filed under: Rhodotorula kratochvilovae
Lineage: Eukaryota; Fungi; Basidiomycota; Microbotryomycetes; Sporidiobolales; Sporidiobolaceae
Description: eukaryotic LSU rRNA
Rfam family: Eukaryotic large subunit ribosomal RNA
Source: RNAcentral
CCUAGUAGCGGCGAGCGAAGCGGGAAGAGCUCAAAUUUAUAAUCUGGCACCUUCGGUGUCCGAGUUGUAAUCUCUAGAAGUGUUUUCCGCGUUGGACCGCACACAAGUCUGUUGGAAUACAGCGGCACAGUGGUGAUACCCCCGUACACGGUGCGGACGCCCAGCGCUUUGUGAUACACUUUCAAUGAGUCGAGUUGUUUGGGAAUGCAGCUCAAAUUGGGUGGUAAAUUCCAUCUAAAGCUAAAUAUUGGCGAGAGACCGAUAGCGAACAAGUACCGUGAGGGAAAGAUGAAAAGCACUUUGGAAAGAGAGUUAACAGUACGUGAAAUUGUUGGAAGGGAAACGCUUGAAGUCAGACUUGCUUGCCGGAGCUUGCUUCGGUUUGCAGGCCAGCAUCAGUUUUCCGGGGUGGAUAAUGGUGGUUUGAAGGUAGCAGCCUCGGCUGUGUUAUAGCUUUCCACUGGAUACAUCCUGGGGGACUGAGGAACGCAGCGUGCUUUUUGCGAA